UUUUGUUUCACCAAAGCCAGCUGCCUCUGCAUUCUUUUCAUUUUUCUUCUGCUCGAGCAAUCUCCUCUCCUUGAAUGAAUCGCUUCUAUCUUCUUCCAUUUUUCUUUUCCUUCACAACUCCACUACCAGCUGCCGUCUCCACCGAUUUUCCUGCAACGGCCACACGUCCAUCUCCUUCUUCCACCGAGUCAAACUUCCUAGCAAAACCCACGAAGUUGACUUCACCUUCGUCUUCACUGCUUCGUGCCCCAUUUCUCCUCACUUUCGCCAGCGACACCACUAGUAGCACUCUCCACUGCUAGCACUUUUCUUCCUAUUGCUUUGUUUGUAGCCACAUGUCCCCACCCCGGCAUCCACACCUCCAUCGUUCCUCCAUGCUAGCCCCAACGAUUAGUCACCGAAGCCAACCGUAGCUCCCUCAAUCCUUGCGUCGCUACAACUCAGCCAGCAGCCGUGUCCCCACCAAGUUGCCACCGCAUGCUACAGCUCCGAUCAUUUGAGCCAAGCCGUGACCAACAACCCUCUUCAAGACUAAUAGCAAUCGUGAGCCUCGCGGGCCAUUUUUCGGCCAGGUCCAAGCCUCUUUUGGCGCCGCCAUAAGCCCAAGUUUCAGCCAUCGUCGUGAACCAGUUUUUGCACUAAACUGGUGAGUUUACUUUCUAAACUCUGCUUAUGGAGUUAAUGAUGCUAUAAGGGUAAUUAACUUAGGUUAAUUAGGGUUUAUGUGGUUUGUUAGAAUGUAUUAUUGAUUUAAUUAUUUAAUUGUGCAUGUUAGAUGGUUAGAAUAGCCUAAGUAGAGACUAGAUAAGUUGUACUAUUUAUCUAGAUAGAUUCGAAAAUUUUCCCAACCCGUUCGGGUGGUUAAUUAAGCAUUUUCGGCCUAAGUGGGUAUUUUUGGUAAUUAAAUGUAUUUAUUUAAUUAUUUUGGUAUUUAUUUAAUUAUUUAUCAUUUCCGAAAAUUAUACUGGAAUAGCCGGUAACCGGAAUUUCGUGCUAAUUGCAAUGGUAUGCUUAAUUUGUGCAAUUGAAUAAUAUAUUGUGCAAAUUGAAUGAAAAUUGUAAUUUUGGGUAUUUAUCUCAAAAUUGUGUAAUUUUGGUAUUUUAUUCAGAAAAUAUUGGGCGUCGAUUUUUAACGCCAAAAAUAUUUUUAGGCACAAUAAUAAAUAGUGGGAUUUUUAAAAAGGAAGAUAUAGUAUUUUUGGCUCAAAUUGAUCGUGUACCCACACACAAUAAUUUUUAUUUGGCGUUUUUAAUACGAAGAAAAUAUGUCAAGUCGUUAUUUUAAUUGAGGAAUUUGUGCGCAAAGCGUGUGAUGGUUUAUUGUCAUCGCAAGGUGACAAGUGAGAGAUGAAGUGACAUAGGUUGUGUUGAGGGCACUUGAUGGGUUGUGAGCUGGUAAAGAACUAAGUACUACACGAUAAUGAAAUCUCGUCUAAAUCACCUCUAGUACCUUAUACCAUUACUUAUAGUAGUCAAGGUCCAAGUGUUACAUGGUGACUUAAGUCACAUGGGAGCCACCUCUAGAAGUCUUGCAAUAUCGUCAUGCAUAGUAAAUGGGCUAAGUGUUACACGAUAGUGAGAUUUUGUGUGAGUUACCUUUAGAACCUUGUACUAGUGUUUUUUUAUAGUCAAGAACUAAGUAUUACACGAUAGUGUGAUUUCGUGGGAGUCACCUUUAGUACCUUGAGCUAUUGCUUAGUAUAGUCAGGAACUAAGUGCUAUACGACAGUGUGAAUUUGUGGGAGCCAUCUCUAGUACCUCGUACUAUGAUUGAUUGUGGUUAGGGACUAAGUGCUAUGCGAUGUCGGAACUUCGUGGGGAGAGAGCACCUCUAGAACCUUGAGCUUGGUAUUGAGUAUUGAGUCAAAAUAUUGAGUGAGGAUAUUGAGGUUGGAUUGAGAAUUUGAAUAUUGAGAGUGAAUAUCGGGUGUGGAUAGAACCACCGAUAUGAGUUGUUCGCGCCUGAUUAAGGGAAGAAAUUAUGUGAUACGGUAUGAGACAUAUCAUAACGAUUUGGCAUUAUAAUCGGGACCCUCAUGAGCGAUUGUUUGAUUGAAUGAUGGAUCGAUUGUAUUGAUUCAAUUGAUUGAUUGAUUGAUUGACUAAGAUUAAAAUGAGAAGUUCCAAAUGCUUGAGUAUUGUUACUGCACUUAUGUGAUAUAUGAAUUAUGUUAAUAUGUAGGAGGGACUUGAGGCGAGGUAUGUCUUAUGUAUUGUGUACAUAGAUUGCCUCUAGAUGUAUUUUCUUCCUAGUCGGGAUUUAUUGGGUGAAUUUGUUGAGACAUUGUUUCACCCUGUUGUGGGUUACCAUUUUCAGGUCUCUAAUGUGAAGAACCUAGAGCUUGAGGAGGAAGGGUCAGGAGCAUGGGUGGCUUAGAAGUUCUUUUUGGAGAUAGACUUCAUGUACUUAGACUCUAGAGUUGGC
Molecule: long non-coding RNA, 2425 nt
Filed under: Eucalyptus grandis
Lineage: Eukaryota; Viridiplantae; Streptophyta; Magnoliopsida; Myrtales; Myrtaceae
Description: long non-coding RNA (EGRA_LNC003794)
Source: RNAcentral